AUUGAACGCUGGCGGCAGGCCUAACACAUGCAAGUCGAACGAGUGGCGGAAGGGUGAGUAAUGUCUGGGAAACUGCCUGAUGGAGGGGGAUAACUACUGGAAAAGGUAGCUAAUACCGCAUACCAUCGGAUGUGCCCAGAUGGGAUUAGCUAGUAGGUGGGGGAAAGGCUUACCUAGGCGACGAUCCCUAGCUGGUCUGCGAGGAUGACCGGCCAAGCUGGAACAGAGGCACGGUCCAGACUCCUACGGGAGGCAGCCGUGGGGAAUAUUGCACAAGUGGCGCAAGCCUGAUGCAGCCAUGCCGCGUGUAUGAAGAAGGCCGUCGGGUUGUAAAGUACUUUCAGCGGGGAGGCGUUACCCGCAGAAGAAGCACCGGCUAACUCCGUGCCAGCAGCCGCGGUAAUAC
Molecule: ribosomal RNA, 406 nt
Filed under: uncultured bacterium
Lineage: Bacteria
Description: partial 16S ribosomal RNA
Rfam family: Bacterial small subunit ribosomal RNA
Source: RNAcentral